Molecule: ribosomal RNA, 253 nt
Filed under: uncultured bacterium
Lineage: Bacteria
Description: partial 16S ribosomal RNA
Rfam family: Bacterial small subunit ribosomal RNA
Source: RNAcentral
UACGUAGGGUGCAAGCGUUGUCCGGAAUUAUUGGGCGUAAAGAGCUCGUAGGUGGCCUGUCGCGUCGGCUGUGAAAACUCGGGGCUCAACUCCGAGCUUGCAGUCGAUACGGGCAGGCUAGAGUUCGGCAGCGGAGACUGGAAUUCCUGGUGUAGCGGUGAAAUGCGCAGAUAUCAGGAGGAACACCGGUGGCGAAGGCGGGUCUCUGGGCCGAUACUGACACUGAGGAGCGGAAGCGUGGGGAGCGAACAGG